UUACAGAUUUAUGAAUAAUCAUAUCCGAUUCCUCCGCAUCGCUCCCAGUAGAAUACCAUCCAAGUACAUAAAAAUUAGGAAACACCUUCUUAUCUGAUCCACAGGUAACAAAACACAUUAAAACCAAAACUCAACACUAUCCACACACACACACAAAACGACUAAAAAACACAUAUAUACAAUCGAUAAGUGCGAAAGAGAUAGAGAGACUAACAAAGCUCUUGUUUCUUAAUCAGGAAGGCGCGAUCGAGAGAAUGAGUAGAAUCAUCAAACAAAAGCUCGAAGCUGUUAAAGAUUUCGACGGUGCGGCCUCUCUGGACGCCGAUGACGCAACCGAAAACCCUGAGCGGCGGCGGCGCGGAGGCGAGGGCGGCGGAGUGAGGAGGGCC
This 389-nucleotide long non-coding RNA is filed under the name Daucus carota (carrot). RNAcentral's name for it is "long non-coding RNA (DCAR_LNC003088)". Lineage: Eukaryota; Viridiplantae; Streptophyta; Magnoliopsida; Apiales; Apiaceae. The record is from RNAcentral.